GAGGAUUUAGCUCAGUGGUAGAGCACUUGCCUAGCAAGCACAAGGCCCUGGGUUCGGUCCCUAGCUUCG
Molecule: transfer RNA, 69 nt
Filed under: Rattus norvegicus (Norway rat)
Lineage: Eukaryota; Metazoa; Chordata; Mammalia; Rodentia; Muridae
Rfam family: tRNA
About the family: Transfer RNA (tRNA) molecules are approximately 80 nucleotides in length. Their secondary structure includes four short double-helical elements and three loops (D, anti-codon, and T loops).
Source: Rfam by way of RNAcentral